GAUGAAGAACGUAGCGAAAUGCGAUACGUAAUGUGAAUUGCAAAUUCAGUGAAUCAUCGAGUCUUUGAACGCACAUUGCGCCCCCUGGUAUUCCGGGGGGCAUGCCUGUCCGAGCGUCAUUGCUGCCCUCAAGCACGGCUUGUGUGUUGGGCCCCGUCCUCCGAUUCCGGGGGACGGGCCCGAAAGGCAGCGGCGGCACCGCGUCCGGUCCUCGAGCGUAUGGGGCUUUGUCACCCGCUCUGUAGGCCGGCCGGCGCUUGCCGAUCAACCCAAAUUUUUAUCCAGGUUGACCUCGGAUCAGGUAGGGAUACCCGCUGAACUUAAGCAUAUCAAUAAGCGGAGGA
RNAcentral lists this unclassified non-coding RNA (344 nucleotides) under soil metagenome. RNAcentral describes it as "partial contains 5.8S ribosomal RNA, internal transcribed spacer 2, and large subunit ribosomal RNA". The stretch from base 1 to 119 matches the Rfam family "5.8S ribosomal RNA", at positions 35 to 154 of the family's 154-position model. The record is from RNAcentral.